This 209-nucleotide small RNA is filed under the name Vigna angularis var. angularis. RNAcentral's name for it is "Non-protein coding transcript". Lineage: Eukaryota; Viridiplantae; Streptophyta; Magnoliopsida; Fabales; Fabaceae. The record is from RNAcentral.
UCAGCUUUGAAUAUUAGGAUGAAUUGUUUUGCUGUGAUGAGAUGACAAGUACUACUAAUCCAAAUGAACAUGGGAGUGCACCAUACUUAAGGAUGAAAGAUUCUUGUCCUAGUGUCGGUGGGAAGGCUAUUUCUUGUCACCACUAAUUCCAGUCAUCUGGGGAACCCAUAACAACUCACGUUAACUUUUUCAAGGAAGCAGCACUAAAC